Cyanistes caeruleus (blue tit) is the source of this 429-nucleotide non-coding RNA. The record is from RefSeq and is a predicted model, not a curated record. Lineage: Eukaryota; Metazoa; Chordata; Aves; Passeriformes; Paridae.
UUGCCUUGGAGCACGGAAGGCCUCAGUGUCAGAGCAGCUCUUGGGCUUGCUCAGUGCAGGAGCAUCCUCCUGCUUGAGGCGUUUGUCAGUGGGCAGCUGCACACUGACAGGAGCCUUGUUCUUCUUGAGUUGGAGCAGUGUCUGCAAACUGCCACAGCAGUGCUCCAAUGAUGGAGCCACUCGCUGCUGCAGUUUGCACUGUUUACGGCUUUAUUUAUUCCGGCUAUUACCUGACAAACCUGGCAUGUCACCUGAGGCGUGUGUUCAGAGGUGCCGAUCCUGAGAGCCCAGAACCAACAGCAGACUCUUCUCUGGCUCCCUCUGCUCCUGGAGAAGAGGCCAAAGAGGAGCAAAAUGACCACGAGCCUCCAGCAGUGGUCACACCCCAGCCUGAACAUUCGCAGACUGUAAGUGCCACUUCUGGCUGGU